This 791-nucleotide long non-coding RNA is filed under the name Helianthus annuus (common sunflower). The record is from RNAcentral. Lineage: Eukaryota; Viridiplantae; Streptophyta; Magnoliopsida; Asterales; Asteraceae.
AUGAACAAUACAAUGAAAUUGGAGUAUCCAAAUCGGUUUGAAUUUGUGUCCAAGCAGAGAUAUAUACGCGUUCUGGGAUCCUUUUUGUUUAUGUUGAUGCGGCCAAAUUCGUGUUAACUUGGCCGAGUCCAUGUAUAUAUACGCUGCAACAUCAUCUAAUCGUCAUUUAAGGGUUGUGGAGUUAAACCUUGGAUCACUUCAUUCAUAAAUUCAUGUUAACUUGGCCGAGUCCAUGAUAACCGCGUCUCCUUAGAAUCCGACGACCAGGAUGACAAAUCCGGGAUUGAACAUUCAAGAAGCACAUGCUUUUUCCUCGGCUGGUGGCUUCUUAUUGGAUGUAUUUGUUGUUGAUGGCCUCAUGAGGUCUAAUCUUAGUUGUCUUGAGCAAUGUGUUUGAAUUUUGAAAACAUUGGUACAAUGAUCUGUUAUUGGCAACUUUUAGGAAAUUGAAAAGCUCAAAAAUGCAAUAGAGAAUGAUAUAUUGAAGGCUAGGUAGUUUCUUUCUAACAUAUUUUGGUGUUUUGUACGCUACAUUUAAUUUAUGUAAUAUACAUCUUCUAUGCAGGGGAGGCUCAUAGUGGUAAAAAUUCUUCAUCCACUAAAUGCAGAAGUAUUCCAACAUCAAGUGACCUUGUGCCCUCAAAUGAUUAUGUAAAAGUACCUACUUAUGGAACUGAGGUAUUGGAAAUUGAUGCCAAGCUGCUGAAAUUCUUAUAGAGAGAUGUUGAAUAAACGAUACUGGUAACAUCGUUUUAAUAUGAUAAAUAUUUAGAGAUUAUGAUUAUUUGUAU